Bos taurus (domestic cattle) is the source of this 741-nucleotide long non-coding RNA. The record is from Ensembl. NCBI's taxonomy places the organism in Eukaryota, Metazoa, Chordata, Mammalia, Artiodactyla, Bovidae.
CAGGUGCACCCGUCUGGACGCUGAGUUUGGGCCCAGUGAUGCAUGCAGGACCGUAGAGGCGCCCGGUUCCGCUGGGGACCUGGGCGCUGGGGCCGCAGAAGCGCAGCGGCGCCACCUAGCGUCCAGCCGGCGCCGGCACCGGGCAAGCGCCUCGCUUUCUCCAAAAAGGAGCAAAGACGUGGAGCCCAGAAGGAACCCGUCUUUGGUGCCUGGAAAGCGUCGGCGGCGAAAGGAGGGCGAGAAGAAGCGCAGGGACAGCCUGAGCCCCGCUUCUAUUUCAAGUUGACACAUAUCCUUGCUUUCGUAGAUACCAAAACCCCAGGUGGAGAAAUCAACUACACGAUGAUCAGACUGUACCCAGGACUUGAACUUCCACAAUUCCGAGAAUUGACUGCAAAGAAAUGGGAACAAGUGCACCCCGGAACUGGAGAUUAACUAACUGUCCUGAAACAACCAAGAUGGUGUGAGGCAGACCACUGAUGACCAACUGAAGUUGCUCAGUCGUGUCCGACUCUUGCGACCGCAUGGACCGCAGCCUGCCAGGCUCCUCUGCCCUUGGGAUUCUCCAGGCAAGAAUACUGGAGUGGGUUGCCAUUUCCUUCUCCAGAAGAUUAACUGUCUUAAAACAACCAAGGUGAUGCUAGUCAGACCACUGAUGACCAAUCUGAAGAUGACUGUUAGAGAUGACUGUGCUGUUUCUGGAUGUUGCCCACCUCCGACUCUGCCUGUAAACUUUCUCAC